Molecule: long non-coding RNA, 904 nt
Filed under: Fukomys damarensis (Damara mole-rat)
Lineage: Eukaryota; Metazoa; Chordata; Mammalia; Rodentia; Bathyergidae
Description: lncRNA (ENSFDAG00000028366.1)
Source: RNAcentral
ACCUUGUCCUGUUUAAGGACACUUUCACUUACAUUUAUUGAUCGUAACUUUGUCACUUUGCUACAUCUAGGUACAAGGAAGCUUAGAAAGCUGUCUUUAUUCCCAGUGGUAGCCAUGUGGCCAGUGAUUCCAUUCCUGUUUGAACUGUGAGGAGCAGCUGUCACUGUGGCCGCACCACCAGCUCCACAGGCUGUGAUGUGGCCCAAAGCCUGAGCCCGGCACCCUGGAGACUGGAGGAGCCAGGUACAGAGCAAGCACCCCUGCAGGACGGAGCAGGUGGGAGCGGGCAGCUCCGGCGGGGUGCAGGCCACGGCCCGCAGAGGGAGCCAGACGGACGCCCGCUUCCAGCCAGCAGGGGGCAGCACUGGGAGCUGGGAUGGGAGCUGCCGGGAAGACUGUGGUUGGCGCUGAUCCUGCUGGGGACCUGGCAGGGACGACAGACGCAGACGCCACCACGGGGACCACGGCAACAUUGUGUCACUGUGGGGGGAGCCACGUGGGCUACGGAAGCAGUAGUCUCUCCAGUGUCCGUGGGGACCGGACUAGAGGACGCGCAGGCUGUAACGGUUCUGGGCACGCACCCAACGCGGAGCUGCUGUGACUGUCACUGUCCUUGUUACUAUGUGGCAGCAGGGGUGGAGCCAGGACACCGCUCAGCAGAGCAGGGAAUUGGUGAACUGAGUGCCCACAUUCACAGCUAUUUGUAUAUUUCCAAAUCCUUUGAGUCAACCUGCAUUCUCUCCUUCAAUAAGAAACCUAAAGUUAAGAAACCAGCUCACAAACACCCCUUGUAGCCAUGCCCAGGGUGGGGAAAGAGGGGGGCCUCAGCUCUGCUUCUUGGAGAUGCCAAGGCUGCAGACCCCCUGCCGUUGCACCAGUCCCUCCAGGUACUCACAUCUGGCGC